UUAAAGUACAAAAAAUCCAGCUAACAUACGCCCCUCUUCUUCUUCUUCUCCCCUUCAACUCAAACUCAACUCAAUUCAACACAGAACAAAGUGAAACCCCACACUAACAUGCGCCAUCAGCUCCUCUCCUCGCCAAUCGCAAUGUCUUCUUCUUCAAGCAAAAGCCUCAAUUUGAAAAAAAACCGGUCAAACCCUAACCCUAACCCUCCCUGCCACCACUCCGCCUCCGCCACUCUCGACCUCCUCAUCCUCCUCCUCGUCCUCUUCGCCGGCACUUUCCUCGUCUCCUCCUACUUCUCCUACACUCUCCACUCUCUCUCUCUCGUUCUCCCCUCUCUCGACUACGUCUCUCUCUGUUUCUCCGCGUUUCUCGUUUUCCUCUUCUUCGCUUCUGCCUACUGUACGUUCCGUCUGUGCUAUUUCUCCAGGAAGUGCGGGAAUGCCGGGUGCAAGGGGCUGCGGAGAGCGAUGGAGUUUGAUUUGAGGCUGCAGAGUGAGGAGUGCUUGAGGCUCGGGGGAAAGGCGGUGGUGGAAGUGGAUGAGUUGCCAUGGAAGGGGGGCGGGGAGGGGAACAGGGAUUAUGAGUGUUUGAGGAAUGAGUUGAGGAGGAUGGCCCCGGUUAAUGGACGCGCGGUGCUCGUGUUUCAGAAGAAGUGUGGCUGUCCGUUUGCAAAGCUGGAGGGGUGGUGUGUGAAACGCGGGCGGAAGAACAAGAAGUGAGUUUGUUCUAUGGAAUUGAGGUUCAAUUGAAUUGGUAUUUGUGGUUUGUUAGUGUUGAUCAUUUUGUGAUUUAGCUCUGGCUUUGAAAGGUGGAGGAGAUUACCGCCAUUGAUUACAUCCUGGCCUGUGCCAAGAAAUCCAAUGGCCGUGUUAAAGUUCAGAUUCCCUGUGGCGUUUUCAAACUCAGUUAAGAUUACAUGAUUUGUACAUUUUCUUUUUCUGGAGGGUGUACCAAAUUUAAUGAGAAAUAAAGUUUAUGUGAAUUUAAAAUAACAUUUUCGAACUUCAGUUUGUUGAAUGUGCAAUAGCUUUUUCUGUA
Molecule: RNA transcript, 1039 nt
Organism: Daucus carota subsp. sativus
Lineage: Eukaryota; Viridiplantae; Streptophyta; Magnoliopsida; Apiales; Apiaceae
Exons: 2
Source: RefSeq, a predicted model, not a curated record